Molecule: ribosomal RNA, 655 nt
Filed under: uncultured bacterium
Lineage: Bacteria
Description: bacterial SSU rRNA
Rfam family: Bacterial small subunit ribosomal RNA
Source: RNAcentral
GAGCAAACGCGUUAAGCGUGCCGCCUGGGAAGUACGGUCGCAAGACUAAAACUCAAAGAAAUUGACGGGGACCCGCACAAGCGGUGGAGUAUGUGGCUUAAUUCGAUGCAACGCGAAGAACCUUACCUAGGCUUGACAUGCAUUUCUAAGUCGGUGAAAGCCGAUGACUCUUCGGAGGACUUGCACAGGUGCUGCAUGGCCGUCGUCAGCUCGUGUCGUGAGAUGUUGGGUUAAGUCCCGCAACGAGCGCAACCCCUGUGAUUAGUUACCAGCGCGUUAUGGCGGGGACUCUAAUCAGACUGCCCAGAUCAACUGGGAGGAAGGUGGGGACGACGUCAGGUCAGUAUGGCCCUUACGCCUAGGGCUGCACACGUACUACAAUGCCCAGCACAAUGAGAACCGAGACCGCGAGGUGGAGGAAAUCUACAAAACUGGGCUCAGUUCGGAUUGGAGGCUGCAACUCGCCUCCAUGAAGCUGGAAUCGCUAGUAAUGGCACAUCAGCUACGGUGCCGUGAAUACGUUCCCGGGUCUUGUACACACCGCCCGUCACAUCAUGGAAGUCGGUCGCACCCGAAGUGCCUGCGCCAACCGCAAGGAGGCAGGGCCCUAAGGUGUAGCUGGUAACUGGGAUGAAGUCGUAACAAGGUAACCAAU